RNAcentral lists this non-coding RNA (29 nucleotides) under Rattus norvegicus (Norway rat). The record is from RNAcentral. Lineage: Eukaryota; Metazoa; Chordata; Mammalia; Rodentia; Muridae.
CACACACGCCAAAAGAGAGGUGCCCUGGU